GUGUGGUGGUGGGCUUCUGUAAUCGAAGCUACUCGGGAGGCUGAGGCAGAAUUGUUUGAACCCUGGAGGGGGAGGUUGCAGUAAGCUGAGAUUUCGCCAUUGCCCUCCAGCCUGGGCAACAAGAGCAAAAUUCCAUCUCAAAAAAAAUUUAAAAAAGGAAAAGAAAGGAUAUUCUGAUUCUGGAGUGAAAAGCUUAUGCAAAAAGCUUAUGCAGGACAGCAUGAUCAAGAGAAUGCUAUAAGUAAAAUCAUCAACAAGUUAAAGAUAGAGAUGAAGGUCUUGCUAUGCUGUCCAAGCUGUUCUCAAACUCCUGUCCUCAAGCAAUCCUAACACCUCAGCCUCCCAAACUGUUGUAAUACAGCAUGCUCUGUGGUCAUUGCCACAAGAUGAUGUGAGGCCACAGGGAGAACCAGGCCUAGACUCACCCAAGCAAUAUGAAGGUUUGGAAGUUGAUCAGAAAUUGGCACCUGAGUUCAUAAGCAUGUGAGCCUCUCAUCAGGACCUUAAAUAAACUGAAGACAUUGUUGUACAAAGAUAAUCAUUCCUCCAGCAUUCAGUCACUAGGGACUGCUGAAUGCUAGACAUUGAUUAAUCACUCUUACCCACAAUUCAUGAUUUAUUUAUUGUAAAAACUCUAUGGGGUAACUGUUAGUGCAUGUAUUAUCCGCAUUUUAUGUAAGAUGAUCUUGAGAUUAACAGAAUAACUUACCCAGGCAGUAAGUGGCAGAUGAGGAUUAUAACCAAGCCCUUUGGGCUCCAAGUUCCAGACUCUUUCUAAUCUG
RNAcentral lists this long non-coding RNA (782 nucleotides) under Callithrix jacchus (white-tufted-ear marmoset). RNAcentral describes it as "lncRNA (ENSCJAG00000071481.1)". Lineage: Eukaryota; Metazoa; Chordata; Mammalia; Primates; Cebidae. The record is from RNAcentral.